This 313-nucleotide ribosomal RNA is filed under the name uncultured Pseudomonas sp. Its description in RNAcentral is "bacterial SSU rRNA". It matches the Rfam family "Bacterial small subunit ribosomal RNA", at positions 1068 to 1382 of the family's 1533-position model. Lineage: Bacteria; Pseudomonadati; Pseudomonadota; Gammaproteobacteria; Pseudomonadales; Pseudomonadaceae. The record is from RNAcentral.
UGGGAUGUUGGGUUAAGUCCGUAACGAGCGCAACCCUUGUCCUUAGUUACCAGCACGUUAUGUGGGCACUCUAAGGAGACUGCCGGUGACAAACCGGAGGAAGGUGGGGAUGACGUCAAGUCAUCAUGGCCCUUACGGCCUGGGCUACACACGUGCUACAAUGGUCGGUACAAAGGGUUGCCAAGCCGCGAGGUGGAGCUAAUCCCAUAAAACCGAUCGUAGUCCGGAUCGCAGUCUGCAACUCGACUGCGUGAAGUCGGAAUCGCUAGUAAUCGUGAAUCAGAAUGUCACGGUGAAUACGUUCCCGGGCCUU